GAUGGAGAGUCUAGAGCCUUUCAUUCCAGUCUAAACCCCCUCCAAAACCCUGGCAUAGCUAUGGCGCAACGACUGCUCCGCCUCCGUCGAGCCCUAACCCCACUCUCUUCUACUCGGCAACGCCCUCCUCUCUCCACUCCUAUCGAAAUCGCACCACCAGCCGCACAGACGCCCCCAAUCAUUUCUCAAUGGCGGGGAUUCUCGGGAACGAGAGUGUCAAUGAUGUCGACGACUGGUUUAGCAGAGAAACAGUACAAGGUAUACGAGGAUGGAGAAGAAAUUGUUAAGAACACAAUUCUGUUUGAAGGCAACGAAUACAUUCACUGGCUGGUGACUGUUGAUUUCCCAAAAGAACCCAAAUCCUCUCCUGAAGAAAUGGUCGCUGGUUUUGAACGCAUCUGUGCCCAGGGACUCAACAUCAGUAUUGAGGAGGCGAAGAAGAGAAUGUAUGCUUGUAGCACAACUAUUUACCAAGGGUUUCAGGUUUCAAUUACGCACCAAGAGGCCGAAAAGUUUAGAGGUGUUCCGGGGGCUGUUUUUGUAUCACCAGAUUCGCGAGUAAAAAAGGAAAAUGGAGGAGACAAGUAUAAAAAUGGAGUAAUCACUCCGAGACCACCCCCAGUUCAAUUUCAGAGAGGUGGAGAAAGGCGCCGUGAUCCAGGCAGAAUUCCACCUAGAUUUGACCAGCCUGAAAGUCCAAUUCCAAACCAUCAAGGGCCGCAACCCCAGUAUAGUCAGCAAGGGCAUAUGCAAGGAGGUGGUAGUAACUACGGGUCUCAACAAAAUCGUCCACCACAGAAAAAUCAUGGUCCUCCAGGGCUAGGAGGAACAGUGCCGAUGAACAAUAGGGAUUAUGCUACUGGAGGAAGGAACACAUAUCCAGGACAGCAAGGAAAUCACGAUCCCCCAGGACAGCAAGGUUACAACCAAGGACAGCAGGGAAGUCAUUACCGCCCAGGACAGCAAGGUUACAACCAAGGACAGCAGGGGAAUCAUUAUGACCCAGACCAAAGGAGCUUUCCACAAGGAGAUUGGAGGAGGGAUCAUGGAUCUCCUGGGCAAAGAGAUGAUAGGGGAGACAACUGGAAUUAUUCUCCCACCCAUGGUGGAAACUAUGGGCAAGGUGGAAAUACUAGCUAUGGACGACGUCACCCAGGUGAAGGUCAGAGGUCCGCACAAAUGGAGCUGAGGGGCAUGCAAGGAGAGCAAGGGAACUAUGCACCAAUGGGACAACCAGGGUGGUCAAACCAAUACAGUCAGCAAGGGCACAUGCAAGGAGGUGGUAGUUGCUACGGGUCUCCACAAAAUGGUCCAUCACAGCAAGAUCAUGGUCCUCCAGUGCUAGGAGGAAGGAUGCCAAUGAACAAUAGGGAUUAUGCCCCUGGAGGAAGGAACAUGUAUCCAGGACAGCAAGGUUACUUCCAAGGACAGCAGGGAAAUCAUUACCCCCCAGGACAAGGUUACUUCCAAGAUCAGCAGGGAAAUCAUUACCCCCCAGGACAGCAAGGUUACAACCAAGGACAGCAUGGAAAUCGUUAUUCCCCAGGUCAGCAAGGUUACAACCAAGAGCAGCAGGGAAAUCAUUACCCCCCAGGACAGCAAGGUUACAACCCAGGACAGCAUGGAAAUCGUUAUCCCCCAGGUCAGCAAGGUUACAACCAAGGACAGCAGGGAAAUCUUUACCCCCCAGGACAUCAAGGUUACUUCCAAGAACAGCAGGGAAAUCAUUACCCCCCAGGACAGCAAGGUUACUUCCAGGAACAGCAGGGAAGUCAUUACCGCCCAGGACAGCAAGGUUACAACCAAGGACAGCAGGGGAAUCAUUAUGACCCAGACCAAAGGAGCUUUCCACAAGGAGAUUGGAGGAGGGAUCAUGGAUCUCCUGGGCAAAGAGAUGAUAGGGGAGACAACUGCAAUUAUUCUCCCACCCAUGGUGGAAACUAUGGGCAAGGUGGAAAUACUAGCUAUGGACAACGUCACCCAGGUGAAGGUCAGAGGUCCGUGCAAAUGGAGCAGAGGAGCAUGCAAACAGAGCAAGGGAACUCUGCACCAUUGGGACAACCAGGGUGGUCAAACCAAGUGAGGACAAAGAAUGGUUUACUGACCUUACAUGCACGCAUGACUUGUAGAUUUGUUUAUGGGAAGAUAGAUUAAAAUGUCAUCUUGUGUAGCUAGGUUAGCCCUUGACUGCUUACUAGUUAGAUUACUGGAAAGUUUUAUCAUCAAGAGUUUUGUGGUCACUAUUCUUCAAUUACCAACAGUCUCCUGGGAAACUCUGCAUGCUUGAAAGUGAAGUACACUGCUGAAAUGGAGGAUACUGAGAAGACUGAUGGUUCUUUGAGGUGGAAGAGAGAAUGGACUUGUAAAUCACUUUCAUCUUGGAAUUUAUGGGAUUUUGGUGUAGCUUUAUGGAAGCUUGAAUUUUUGCUAAUCUUUAACAGACUUGCUUAUUAUCACUGAUUUUUCUGGCAUCUAAACGCCCACUGUAAAUUAUAUACAAGAUUAUUAAUCUGCAUAGAUGUUUUGUGGUUUGUACCAUGGUUGUUCGUUGAACUGUGAUGCCUUUAUGUGCAUGCAUGGUGGUAGUGAAUGCUGGGUGGUUGUGUACAUAUUUUUGUCUUCAAACUGAUCAUUUUGUUCCUAAUCUUUUUUUCCUGACAUUUCAGCAUGGGAAAGAUUCCUGGUGUCAACUUACAGAGACUGCAAGCUCUGCCUAACGCUUUUGAUGCACUCAAGUAUUCCGAUCUAUUGAUUCAGGAUCUGUGAAGGGAUUUCCAAAUUCCACUCAAGAAGCCGUGGCUCAAGUUCGAACUAGCUUUAUGCAGUACUUGCUAACAUUAACCAGUUUGUGCUUCUAGUUUUAUGUUUAUGUGAUAUCAUUCCAGACCUGCUCCAAUAACUUACCUCCUUUUUCUGCAGAAUCUUGUAUUAGGAAAGAAUUUGAAAGCAGACAAGAGCAUUCAUACAGCAUAUGUAAAGGCAAUAAGAUCAGCUGAACACUUCAUAUACAAAGAGAAUCAAUAUUUUCCUGGAUCUUCCUAGCUAUCUUUGGCCAUCAUACAAAAAUGCAGGUACAGAAAGCAUCAAGUUACUGCCUUUCCUUGCCAAAUGUGAAGAAAUUUAUUGAAUGCUGAUUACUGAUUAAUCGACACUAAUAAAUCACAGCGUAUCUCAUGCAAGACAUUAAGGUGUUUUAGUUUUUGUUUUGUUGUUUAGUUGGAUAUCUGAUGAGGAAAUUUCUCUUUGACUUCAUCUAUGUGAACAGGAGCUGAUAACUUAUUAUUGUAAAUACAGCUAUAUGUUUUCCCAUAGUUUUGUGAACUUUUAUAGAUUAUAUUAUUUUGCAAUGCUCUCAUAAUGUUGAGGAUA
This is an RNA transcript of Populus nigra (black poplar), 3369 nucleotides long. It is a transcript of the gene named multiple organellar RNA editing factor 1, mitochondrial-like, with no coding region annotated. Lineage: Eukaryota; Viridiplantae; Streptophyta; Magnoliopsida; Malpighiales; Salicaceae. The transcript has 8 exons. The record is from RefSeq and is a predicted model, not a curated record.